RNAcentral lists this ribosomal RNA (389 nucleotides) under uncultured bacterium. RNAcentral's name for it is "bacterial SSU rRNA". It matches the Rfam family "Bacterial small subunit ribosomal RNA", at positions 28 to 419 of the family's 1533-position model. The record is from RNAcentral.
GACGAACGCUGGCGGCGUGCUUAACACAUGCAAGUCGAGCGAGGCCCCUCUUCGGGAAGGUGUCCUAGCGGCGAACGGGUGAGUAACACGUGGGCAACCUGCCCUCAGCUCUGGGGAUAACCCCGGGAAACGGGGCUAAUACCGGAUACGACCUCCACGGGCAUCUGCGGAGGUGAAAGGUCUUCCGGCUGAGGAUGGGCCCGCGGCCUAUCAGCUAGUUGGUGGGGUGACGGCCCACCAAGGCGACGACGGGUAGCCGGCCUGAGAGGGCGACCGGCCACACUGGGACUGAGACACGGCCCAGACUCCUACGGGAGGCAGCAGUGGGGAAUAUUGCGCAAUGGGCGAAAGCCUGACGCAGCGACGCCGCGUGAGGGACGAAGGCCUUC